This 314-nucleotide small nuclear RNA is filed under the name Jaculus jaculus (lesser Egyptian jerboa). Its description in RNAcentral is "7SK RNA (ENSJJAG00000001277.1)". It matches the Rfam family "7SK RNA". Rfam says of the family: 7SK was discovered as an abundant small nuclear RNA in the mid-70s but a possible function has only recently been suggested. Two independent studies have found that 7SK RNA binds the CDK9/cyclin T complex (known as elongation factor P-TEFb). Lineage: Eukaryota; Metazoa; Chordata; Mammalia; Rodentia; Dipodidae. The record is from Rfam by way of RNAcentral.
GGAUGUGAGGGUGAUCUGGCUACAACAUCUGUCACCUCAUUGAUCACCAGUGGUGAUUAGGGUGAUCUGGCUGGCUAGGUAGGUGUCCCCUUCCUUCCUCAUUGCUCCAUGUGCAGACCUCCCAAAGCUGCAGGCCUGGUUGAAAAGAAUGGCCUGCCCCAAUAGAAGAAGACUGGUCUUAGGCCAAGGGUAUAAGUGUAGCUGUGCUCCCUUGCUAGAACCUCCAAACAAGCUCUCACAGACUAGUAUUUACCAAUAAACAUUAUUAUUUUUUAAAACAAUUUCUUCCUUGUGAUAUGUGUGUGUGUGUGCGU